CUGAAACCAGGCCUCCGAGUCGUCAUUCCUAAGGAGGAUUCUCUACGGAUGGCGACCAGCGGGUUUUCCCGGAAACGGGGAAGCCUCCCGUUACUUGGAAAGGAGGAUACAUGUUGAGAGA
This is a non-coding RNA of Synergistales bacterium 53_16, 121 nucleotides long. Lineage: Bacteria; Thermotogati; Synergistota; Synergistia; Synergistales. The record is from Rfam.